This is a long non-coding RNA of Sparus aurata (gilthead seabream), 1962 nucleotides long. The record is from Ensembl. Lineage: Eukaryota; Metazoa; Chordata; Actinopteri; Spariformes; Sparidae.
UAAAAUGAGGACUCCAACAUUGCGAGAUGAUUCCUGUGAUUUCAAAACAGAACCAAGAGUAUUUUUAAAGAGACCAUUCUGACGAGCUGUUUGGGUCCAGCUGACACCCAUAUGCGCGAGUUGAUGUGGAGAAAGUUUUUACAAAAUGGAAUCGGGAGCUAAAGAAGUCAUCAGGACACAUCAGAUCCGACGUGCGUGGCGCCAGAGUUAACGCUGAAGCCCAGCACAGUCCGGGGUCUCCCAUUCCCCUUCAUCCACCCUCUGUGCUCCACAGCGACUGUCAAACACAGGCUCAUCAUUCAAAAGCUCUCUCUCCAAAAAAAGAUACGUUUAAGAAAACACAUACACACCCAUGUAGAUCACUGAGCCAACUAAAUAACAAACGACGGCAUAACUGAUCCAUUUACUCUUGUAAUAGCUGCUGCUAAUAAUGAAUGUAGGUGAAUUAAUUAGUGUGUGGUGGCAUUCCGAUUAUUGAAGGGUCGUUUGGACAUUAAAUUUAAAAGUUUUCUCGAUUUGUUAGUGGCCAAUAAACCUGCAGAAAAAAUAUAUUUAUCUUCACUGUCUUUUUAACGCCUCCUCUGAAAUGUAUUGCUGACGGAAAUACAAAUGCAAUGCCCACCAAAACACUGACAGAAAACAUAUAGGAACAGAAAAAACAAAUAGAACAAUAGGUAUCGAAAUAUAUUAUCAGAAAACAUGUGGACAAAAAAGUCCCACAAUUAUCAAUACUGCAAACACUUGAUCAUAAACAAUAUAAUUUUUUGAAUCAAGAUGUUUUUUAUGCUUUUACAUUUUGUGCGUAAUUUGACUUAGGCUUACAUUUUUGUUGAAAAUAAUAACAAUAAUAAUGAUAAUAAUAACAAUAACAACAAGAACAAUAAUAAUAAUAAUAAUAAUAAUAAUAAUAAUAAUAAUAAUAAUAAUGUAGGCCCAGUGUAAUACAAAAAGCUCCAACAGUUAAUUCAGCAAAAAAAGAAGAAGAAAUUAUAUAAAUGACUCAUUCAAUUUUAUUUUAUUUUGUUAUUUAGUAUUUGUGGUAUUAAUAUUUUCCAUCUACAUUAUUAUUCGUGAAUUUAAUUGAACUUCCUUGGGUUAUUCAUUGUUGCUGAAGACCAUAUAAUACACUGUAUUUCUUUGUGUAUCUUUAUAUCAGAUAUCUAACACACGCAUGUUUGCUUUGCAGACAUUCACGUUAAAAGGGAAGUAAGAGAAACAUUACAAGAACUCAAUGAGACAACAUUUUUCAGUCCAUUACUUGAAUUUUGUGUAAAGCAAAAAUUACACUAAAAUGGGAGUAUUAUAUUUUGGGCUAAAUAGUUGACCAUAUCGGCUACUGCCGACCAGACUUUUUCCUCUCUGCCAGCCGUCGGGAUCAUUGAACACAACCAAGAUCUUACCGUCGCUUGCUUAAUGAGCAGCUAACCCAUGUUAUGGACAUGCCGGUGGCUUUGGGACUAUUCAACAGUCGUGGUCCCGGUCGGAGACACACUGACAACUUGUCCGUCCUCCUGUGUGCAGCGGGAGCGUCGAGGCGAGCCUGAAAUGUAACUGUGUACAUUCUCUGCUUCCUCACAUUAAUGUUUUGUAAACAAUAAGGAGAUAUGGGCGCGUUUGAAAGCCAAGUGUAUUCUAAACACUCUCCCAAAAAUAAUAAAUACGAGUGUUUAACAAGAAAUUAUGUUUCGGCGAGUGUAACUAACCUUUACAUAAACUAUAGGCUGCAGCAGAAAGGUUCUUCUUGAUUUGAAGUUAGGCAUGUUAACACAUAAUACAUCAGUUUAAUGCUGUUGUUUUUUUAGGACAAAGAAAAACACUUUAAUCUCGUUUUUAGUCCCGUGUUUGUGGAGAAAAGUGUCGACCAGCCCCCAUAACAUGUUACAGUUCUACCUCUGCAACACAUACACACACAUAAAACACAUACUACUUUUUUUUUGACAAACUUUGAGCUAUACAUUUCUU